Molecule: long non-coding RNA, 544 nt
Organism: Hylaeus anthracinus
Lineage: Eukaryota; Metazoa; Arthropoda; Insecta; Hymenoptera; Colletidae
Exons: 3
Source: RefSeq, a predicted model, not a curated record
GGCAGUUAUAAUUCUGUAGUGGACGGGUUAAUCUCUCGCGUCAGUCUCAUUUAGGUAUCGUGUAUUGCAUCUCCAGCUGAGUAAAGAGUUCGCAUUUUAUAAAAGAAGAAUUCAGAUAUAAAGGAAAAAUAAGAUAAAAGGAUACCUUAGACUAACUAACGCUAUUAAAAACAGCAACUGGUGCAGCAAGAAUUCUAGUACCAUCAACGUACAAACAUUUGUUGAAUCUACAUGUAAACUUCCAUGGCAAUCGCUUGGUUAUUCGCGAGAUUUCGUGAACGCCAGAUCAGGAGCAGUCGUUCCGAGGUACUUGGUAGAUGGGAGCAGCGACACUGAUUUCUCGAGAACUACUGGACAGAUUGACUUGAACUUCGACAAACCGAUAAAAGGAACGUGCAGCUAUCGUUUCCAUCGGAUUCAUCCGAUAUCUUAAAUUCUUUAGGGACUAAAAAGUUGACAACUUCUGGCUAAAAAUCGAAAGUUACACUUUUCGAGGUUGGCGAUUUAUUAAGAGUGUUUCUUACUUGUUUAUUUUAGUUGGGAC